This 834-nucleotide ribosomal RNA is filed under the name Coniochaeta sp. RNAcentral describes it as "partial large subunit ribosomal RNA". It matches the Rfam family "Eukaryotic large subunit ribosomal RNA", at positions 69 to 935 of the family's 3401-position model. Lineage: Eukaryota; Fungi; Ascomycota; Sordariomycetes; Coniochaetales; Coniochaetaceae. The record is from RNAcentral.
CAGGGAUUGCCCCAGUAACGGCGAGUGAAGCGGCAACAGCUCAAAUUUGAAAUCUGGCCUCGGCCCGAGUUGUAAUUUGUAGAGGAUGCUUUUGGUGAGGUGCCUUCUGAGUUCCCUGGAACGGGACGCCAGAGAGGGUGAGAGCCCCGUAUAGUUGGACACCGAGCCUCUGUAAAGCUCCUUCGACGAGUCGAGUAGUUUGGGAAUGCUGCUCAAAAUGGGAGGUAUAUCUCUUCUAAAGCUAAAUACUGGCCAGAGACCGAUAGCGCACAAGUAGAGUGAUCGAAAGAUGAAAAGCACUUUGAAAAGAGGGUUAAAUAGUACGUGAAAUUGUUGAAAGGGAAGCGCUUGUGACCAGACUUGUGCCGGGCUGAUCAUCCAGUGUUCUCACUGGUGCACUCUGCCCGGCUCAGGCCAGCGUCGGUUCUCGCAGGGGGACAAAAGCUUCGGGAACGUAGCUCCUCUCGGGGAGUGUUAUAGCCCGCUGCUCAAUACCCUUGUGGGGACCGAGGUUCGCGCUCUGCAAGGACGCUGGCAUAAUGGUCAUCAGCGGCCCGUCUUGAAACACGGACCAAGGAGUCGAGGUUUUGCGCGAGUGUUUGGGUGUAAAACCCGCACGCGUAAUGAAAGUGAACGUAGGUGAGAGCUUCGGCGCAUCAUCGACCGAUCCUGAUGUAUUCGGAUGGAUUUGAGUAAGAGCGUAUAGCCUCGGACCCGAAAGAUGGUGAACUAUGCCUGAAUAGGGUGAAGCCAGAGGAAACUCUGGUGGAGGCUCGCAGCGGUUCUGACGUGCAAAUCGAUCGUCAAAUUUGGGCAUGGGGGCGAAAGACUAAU